UCGUCAGCAGGUACGCAAGAGCGUUAUCUCAUGCAGCCAUGCAUAUUUGUUGGUGAUUGUGAUAACGUAAGGGAAAAAAAUGAUAUUACCUUACUAUUAGUGUUGUCCAAAACUGGUGCCAGAAGACUCGGUAAGGCCAGAGACGCAAACGUUAGUCGUCCUAAUCAGGCGUAAAGGGUGUGUAGGCUGCUUUAAAAGUUUUAAAUUUUACCUAGCUCUGAAACCGUAUUAAACUUAAAAGUUUAAGUUAAAAUUUUCAAAAUAAUACCUGUUUAACAGAUUAAAAAAAUAAAUGAUAUAAAUAAAGUUUGUUUAAUAAACUAAAAAAUAUCCGUGUUUCAGUAAAAAAUAAGAUUAAUUAAAGCUAGAAUCAAAUAGAGGAUAAGUCAAAUAAUACUUAGUGUAGGGAUUAUAUCCUCAGAUAUUAGGUGGAAUACUAAAGGUGAAAGCUUUUUAUCUAUUAUUGAUUGACGCUGAGAAACGAAGGUGAGAAUAGGAAAUAGGAUUAGAUACCCAGAUACCUCUCACUGUCAACGAUGAAUGGUGGUUGUUAGUUUUAAUAAAAAUUAGUAACGAUGUUAACACGAUAACCAUUCCGCCUUGCGAGUACGGUUGCAAAACUGAAACCAAAAAAAUUAGUCGGUCUCGAAGCAAACGAAGUG
Molecule: ribosomal RNA, 662 nt
Filed under: Lepista densifolia
Lineage: Eukaryota; Fungi; Basidiomycota; Agaricomycetes; Agaricales; Clitocybaceae
Description: partial small subunit ribosomal RNA
Rfam family: Bacterial small subunit ribosomal RNA
Source: RNAcentral